This 814-nucleotide ribosomal RNA is filed under the name uncultured bacterium. RNAcentral's name for it is "bacterial SSU rRNA". It matches the Rfam family "Bacterial small subunit ribosomal RNA", at positions 102 to 924 of the family's 1533-position model. The record is from RNAcentral.
ACUGCUCAGUAACACGUAGGCAACCUGCCCGAAAGACCGGGACAGCAGUGAGAAAUCGCUGCUAAUACCGGAUGUGGCCCAAGGGAGACAUCUUCCUUGGAUUAAAGCGUCUUAAUGGCGGCUUUCGGAGGGGCCUGCGGCCUAUCAGCUAGGUGGCGAGGUAACGGCUCACCAUGCCGACGACGGGUAGCUGGUCUGAGAGGAUGGUCAGCCGGACUGGGACUGAGAGACGGCCCAGACUCCUACGGGGGGCAGCAAUUAGGAAUCUUGCGCAAUGGGGGCAACCCUGACGCAGCGACGCCGCGUGGAGGAGGAAGGCCUUCGGGUUGUAAACUCCUUUUGUCAAGGAAGGAACAAAUGACGGUACUUGACGAAUAAGCCCCGGCUAACUCCGUGCCAGCAGCCGCGGUAAUACGGAGGGGGCGAGCGUUGUCCGAAGUUACUGGGCGUAAAGCGCGCGUAGGCGGGUUGCUAAGUCCGCUGUGAAAGCCCGAGGCUUAACCUCGGAGGGUCGGUGGAUACUGGCAGUCUUGAAGGUGGUAGGGGGAGAUGGAAUUACCGGUGUAGCGGUGAAAUGCGUAGAGAUCGGUAGGAACACCAGUGGCGAAGGCGGUCUCCUGGAGCACUCUUGACGCUGAGGCGCGAAAGCUGGGGGAGCGAACGGGAUUAGAUACCCCGGUAGUCCCAGCCCUAAACGAUGGAUACUAGGUGUCGGGGGUAUCGACCCCCCCGGUGCCGCCGCUAACGCAGUAAGUACCCCGCCUGGGGAGUACGGCCGCAAGGUCGAAACUCAAAGGAAUUGGCGGGGGAGCAC